Long non-coding RNA from Cyprinus carpio carpio, 1015 nucleotides. The record is from Ensembl. NCBI's taxonomy places the organism in Eukaryota, Metazoa, Chordata, Actinopteri, Cypriniformes, Cyprinidae.
GAAGAAUAACUCGCAUGGCUUGUGGGCGUACUUGAACCUGAUGUCAAUCGUGUGGAAGCCCACUACUUCAUUUCAGUUCAGGGAAGAGAGCGGAAGGAUGGCUGAAGCCCUUGGCAAGAGACACCUACCACCACCACCCGCUACAGGGAAACAACCGCGCUCGUAAUCACAAAUCAAAUCCGAUAAGAAAAGGAGCCGAACCAAAGUAAACAUCGGCACUGCUUUCCAUCGCUGGAGACAACUGAUGGACUUGAAAGAAAUGAGGUUCGACUCCGAACUUGCAACAUUUCUUUUGGAUUGGUAAGUAAGAUGCUGUUAGUAUUUCGCUAGAAGUUUGUUUUAUAUGUCUGCGUAUUUUUUUCGGGAAGUUAUAACAUAGAAAUGUAUCGAAGGCUGUUCGAUAAACGUGCUAAUGUUAGCGAUGGCUAACCGUAGCUGCGUUUGAUAAUUAGCUAGCUAUAACUUACCCACAGAUCCGAUCUGGUUUUCACCUGUUAUCUACCAAAGCCCGUCUCUACCAAGCUGAUGCUAAAAUGUAACAUUACCUAAGAAGCUUGAAACGUGCUCUUAGGCUUCGGCUAUGGCUCUAGGGUUGUUGUGAAGGUAGGGGCGGAGCAUAGAGACUAUGCCGUUUCUCGUUUGUUACUCUAGAGUAGACCAAUUCACUUUAUUGAGGCAAACUGCCCCCAUCUGGUAUGGAAUGUGGAGUAUGACUUGAUUUUUUUGCCAGACAUGACACAUGGCACCUUUAAGAAGAACAAAUACACUUGUAGAUCACUGCAAACUUCUCUUACUGUAAUAUUUUAAUAGUAUAACACAUUUUCAGAAGAGACUGGAUUACACUCAUCAGAGCUCACAGUGUAUUAAUGAGAACAGUGCGCUGUUGCUGUGAGAGAAAAGGAAGUUUAGAUCAUUCACAAGUGUGUCCUUGCACAAGGACAAACAAAUAGCUAACACAUAUAUGUGCUUUUCUGUUAUGGUGGGGAUUUUCCAUUGACUGAUGUUUCUACAGUUU